Molecule: RNA transcript, 4266 nt
Organism: Zingiber officinale
Lineage: Eukaryota; Viridiplantae; Streptophyta; Magnoliopsida; Zingiberales; Zingiberaceae
Gene name: nuclear transcription factor Y subunit B-3-like
Exons: 7
Source: RefSeq, a predicted model, not a curated record
GGCGACGGACGGUGCAGAUACCCAAUUAUCGUAUUCGAGCUCCGAUCCCAGUCGUCUCCUCCGCCGCCUACUCUCCAGCGUCCGAUCUCCUCUCUUCCCCCCUCCCACAGCCCAUCGCCGCCGCCGCCUGCUCCUCCUCUUCUCCCUCCCUAGGCGCGCCUCGAUUACAAAAUCCUCCCUCCCUCUCUUUCCCUCUUUUUCUCAGUAUCGCGCCCAUGUCGGAAGUCCCGGCAAGUCCUACCGGCGGGGCCGGUGGCGGCGGUAGUCACGAGAGCGGCGGCGACCAGAGCCCCCGAUCCAGUGUCCGGGAGCAGGACCGCUUUCUCCCCAUCGCUAACAUCAGCAGGAUCAUGAAAAAGGCGCUUCCUGCCAACGCCAAGAUCGCCAAGGACGCUAAGGAGAUCAUCCAGGAGUGCGUCUCUGAAUUCAUCAGCUUCGUCACCAGCGAGGCUAGUGACAAAUGCCAGAGGGAGAAAAGGAAGACCAUUAAUGGCGACGAUCUGCUCUGGGCGAUGGCCACGCUGGGAUUCGAGGAUUAUAUUGAGCCACUGAAAUUGUAUUUGCAGAAGUACAGAGAGAUGGAGGGUGACAGUAAGGUGUCUGCCAAAGGUGGAGACAACUCUGUCAAGCAAGAUACAACGAGUUCUCACGGUGGAGUUCAGCCUGGUUCAGUCUCUCAAGGGAUAGGUCAUCAAGGAUCUUUUACACAAGGCAUGGGCUAUUUGCAACCUCAGGUACCAUUCUUUUUACUUGAUUUUUGAUAUACCAUUCCUUUUUUACUUGAUUUACAACUUGACUACUCAUGCCUUAGUUGUUCACUUAAGUUCAGAAAUACCAUUCUUGUUGUUUGGUUUUAAGACUGAUGUGCUUACAUGCAAUUCCAUAAGUUUUGAAUACUUAGGAAGAAAUUCAUUAUAAUUUGGCAGCUUAUGGUUGUAAAAGCAUAAAUAUGAUAACUUUUCAGUACGUUCAAAUUAGAGAAAUAUUUUCUUGCACAUUAAUUUAUUGUCAUUCUUUCAAAACUGUUGAUGUGGACCUCAUAUGCAUAUGCAGACUCAUUAUGUAUGCUUUACAACGAUUAAAUUAGAGAUUAUGUGGGUUAUAUUGUGCUUAUGUGGUCAUAUAUUAGGUUGAUCUUUAAUUUAUUCAUCUAGACCAAGCUAAUUUUUCAGUUUGAACCAAGCUACUAUGUGCGAGAAAAGAUUAAAUGCAAAAUUUUAUUUUUUGUUCAAUUUAAUAUAAAUCUAAAGAGCCAAUUAUUUGAGAUUAGAAGUGUUGUUUAGAGCUUGUAUUGAAUAAUUUAUAUUUUUUACAAGUUUGCUCCUUAACUUUUGAAGUUUAUUAUAGUCUAUUUUGCUUAUUGGUACCUUGGGAAGUUUGUACUCAUGCUGUCAUUCAUAGCAUAUGCGCAAUACAGUGAAGCAUGCUGCUUGCAUACACUUUUCAAGACCUUUGUAUACUCUCUGGAAAUGAUUGAUGUUUCAUUGACUCUUUUUCUUGCUUGAAUAUCUUCUUGAAAAUUGCUUACUUACCUAUAGAUUUUUUUUUUGGUUUCAUUAAUUUGCCUUUUUCCUUGAUUUGAAGGGAGACAUUUUUCCUUAGUUUAGGAAUAUUGUUAAACUUAUUUUUCCUUAAUUUCAGAAUAUUGUAAAACUUUUAUGAUUUUUCACCUAACCUUAGGAUUAAUUUUACGAUGCAACUGCUGUUUCUUUCAAGAAUAUUAACAUUCCUUGGCUUGAUAAUCCUUGAAUUUAACUAGUUUUCAAAUACAGUAUCAAGCAGUAUGCUGAGUGAUGCAAGGCUGAUGCAGUAUUUUUUGAGCUUUUGCUUACCUUUGUUGUUUUUUUCUCUCCAGAUAUUAUGUAGGCAUAUAGCAGGCAGUAGAGAAAUUUCAUCUUAUAUUAAUCACAUAGAUUCCCCGAUCUUAGAUUGUGUAGUUUAAGUGUAACUGAUCUGGCAUUUUAUGACAUUAAAUCAGUUGGUGUUGUUUCAUAUGUGAUUCUGAAUAAAGUCGACAUUUUUGCAAGGAUGAUGAUUAUAGACAUCCCAAGACUUGCCAAACAGAGAGGAUUACGUGAUGCUCGCUCGGCAUACCUAGAGACUGCUUGGCUUCAUGUUGUGCACAUUGUGUUGGUUGGUGUGCCAAGCUCAAUUUGGCUAGUACCUGGGUUGUGCUUAGGAUGACUCUUGCUAGGCUUGACCCACAAGCUGGGUUAGGCAUGGUCCUCUAACUCGGCUAGGUCCAACAUGAGUCUUGAACAAGAACCAAUCCUAUCGUCUAACUUCUUUUCCCAUAAAUUGCCUAAAAUACCCCAAAUAUAAAUAAUAAGAGCAUUUUAGUCAUUGUAUUAUCAAAAUAAUUAAAAUUCCUAAAAAACUCUCAUAAAUGCCUUCCAUCCAUCCACCUAUAUCCUCAUCUCUUCAUUCUCUUAUUUUUCUCACAUCUCUUCCUUGUUCUCCUCUCAUUUUCAGUUUAUAUCCUCACUUUCUCUAAAAUUCCUAGUUUCUAUUUUCAUAUUUUGCUGUUUAGUAGGAGCUAAAUCAACAUUGUGCGAGGAUGAUGAAGGAUUGUGGUCAUGUGGAGGCUCUACACUAUGGCUAUAAUGAAGCAUAUAGUUGCGCCACUUUUGUGUUAUAAUCCUCAAAUCUCAAGCAUAUCGUGGAUGGUGGCUAAAUGAGGACAAUGUAUUCGAAAAUCUCAAUCAGGGACAUGCUUGUUCUUUGUUGUUGGCCAGUUGAACCGAUGAUGUUUAAGCCCUUUACAGGAUGUUGAAGGCUAUUAAAUCAUCGAUCAAUCACUCCCAAUGGAUUAACAUCAGAUUCCAUAGACCAUGGACAUCCAAGGUUGUAAAAACAUAUAUAUUCAUCACUUGGCAACAUAUAAAGGAUAGGAGUUCGACAAUUGCAAAUUAGAAUGUAUAUCCAUUUAUUCAUGUGUUUGUGUUCAUUUGAAUUGUCUAAAUCUGUGCAAUUUUUAUAUCAUGUAAUUCUUUAGAUUAAUGUAAUAUUUUUAAUAUUUAGUUUUUUUCAACACGACUCAUUGACACCCCUAGAUAUCCAUCCUGUAUCAACAAAACAAGUGAAGGUGCCGAGUUAUUGAGUUGGUAAUGACCUAAGAAGUUAUUGUCAAGGUUUUAGGUUCAACAUCCAGCUUUACUGAAAUCGGGGUUUGUAUAUACAUAGACAAGGGGAAAAAAUGGGAAGUGAAGGGAUCAACCAGUGUCAUAGACUUAGAUAGUGUUUAAGUAGACUGAAGAAGGGGUCUAUCACAUGUAGAAAAUAUGACAUUAGACAUGUCAGCUGAGGUUCUAAAUAGCAUGCUCAUAUCUAAUAAAAAUAGAGUAUAAUUAGAAGAUAGAACCUUAAUAUAACGAACUAAUACUACAAGAGAAAAAGAAAUUCCAAGGUGCCGAAUAGAAAAAAUGGUUCCCUGGAUAUGCAAGAGGAGAAGACAUUGUAACAUUAAGAAUAGGCAAGUAAACACUAUUUGCAAGAUAACAAGAUGUGACUCCACCACAACCAUUUACAAGCUUCAACUUCUAAGAUAUAAUAGUUUUUGUUUUCAAUAACCUUUUCCUUGACAGUGUAUAUAACAUUAGUGAACAGAUAAAUCAUGCAUAGUGCAGGAUGUUUUUCGUUCAAUUGUCCUUAGAUGGAAAAUAAGAGAGAUAGAAAGAGAGGGAGAGGGGGAGAGAGAGAGGGAGAGGGAGAGGGAAAAAAGACUUGCAAAAUUAUACAUGGAGCUCAUUUUUUGUUACUUUCCUCUUCUCCCUCGUACUGAAUUGUAGGUAGAAUUAAGAAAGCUGGGCAUUUGGCUUACAAGGAGUUCUGUUUAUCAAAGCUUGGAAAUCAUCUUACAAUUGUAUUCACGUUGUUUGGAAGAUUCACCAUUGUCUUUUGCUGAUCCUUUACGCACGCUAGGGCACAUGUUAAACCAUAUAUGUUUUAUGCAUUUUCUUUUUUCAUUUUAAAUAUCCCUCAUUAUGUUUUCUGCUAAGAGAUGUUCAUGGGCAAUUCAAAUUUUCUGAUUGCUAUUUUUCUGUGGUGCAGUGACUGGAUCUGAACCUCGUAACAUCUUGAAGUGUGACUUUUAGGCGGAAAAGCUUCGUUGCUUCAUGUUAUCACUAAGCUUUGUAUUUGAUGCUUUAGAUUGUAAAGUAGUAUGAGUUGUAUCAGUCUAAAUUGUGUACGAAAUUCAUCUUUGUUACACUUGCUGAAUUUUAGGUGGCAACACAUUGCGUUGAAUGAGCCUGUUUCAUUCUUACU